AGGGGUCGAAUCAGGCCACUACUGGAACUGUAGACCCCGGUGCCAUACUCCUACCGGGUAGCAGCAGUAGUGGGAAUCGUGCACUGCAAUGGGGCCGAAAGCCUGAUCGAGCAUCGCCGUCGUGAUGAUGAAGGUCUUCGGAUCGUCGAAACUCUGUUAUUAUGGGAAGAUACAUAUGGUGUAAGUAACUGUGCACAUCUUGACGGUACCUUAUCAGAAGCCACGGCUAACUACGUGCCAGCAGCCACGGUAAUACGUAGGUGGCAAGCGUUAUCCGGAAUUAUUGGGCGUAAAGCGCGCGUAGGCGGUUUUUUAAGUCUGAUGUGAAAGCCCACGGCUCAACCGUGGAGGGUCAUUGGAAACUGGAAAACUUGAGUGCAGAAGAGGAGAGUGGAAUUCCAUGUGUAGCGGUGAAAUGCGCAGAGAUAUGGAGGAACACCAGUGGCGAAGGCGACUUUCUGGUCUGUAACUGACGCUGAUGUGCGAAAGCGUGGGGAUCAAACAGGAUUAGAUACCCUGGUAGUCCACGCCGUAAACGAUGAGUGCUAAGUGUUAGGGGGUUUCCGCCCCUUAGUGCUGCAGCUACGCAUUAAGCGCUCCGCCUGGGGAGUACGACCGCAAGUGAA
RNAcentral lists this ribosomal RNA (626 nucleotides) under uncultured Staphylococcus sp. Its description in RNAcentral is "bacterial SSU rRNA". It matches the Rfam family "Bacterial small subunit ribosomal RNA", at positions 295 to 898 of the family's 1533-position model. Lineage: Bacteria; Bacillati; Bacillota; Bacilli; Caryophanales; Staphylococcaceae. The record is from RNAcentral.